RNAcentral lists this ribosomal RNA (877 nucleotides) under uncultured bacterium. RNAcentral describes it as "bacterial SSU rRNA". It matches the Rfam family "Bacterial small subunit ribosomal RNA", at positions 8 to 916 of the family's 1533-position model. The record is from RNAcentral.
AGAGUUUGAUCCUGGCUCAGAAUCAACGCUGGCGGCGCGCUUAACACAUGCAAGUCGAACGAGAAAGCAGGGGCAACUCUGUGAGUAAAGUGGCGUACGGGUGAGUAACACGUGGAUGAUCUACCCUUUAGUGGGGAAUAACGCUGGGAAACCGGCGCUAAUACCGCAUAAGCCCGAGAGGGGAAAGCAGCAAUGCGCUGAAGGAGGAGUCCGCGGCCGAUUAGCUAGUUGGGAGGGUAAAAGCCUACCAAGGCGACGAUCGGUAGCCGGCCUGAGAGGGCACACGGCCACACUGGCACUGAGACACGGGCCAGACUCCUACGGGAGGCAGCAGUGGGGAAUCUUGCACAAUGGGGGAAACCCUGAUGCAGCGACGCCGCGUGAGCGAUGAAGCCCUUCGGGGUGUAAAGCUCUUUCGGCAGGGACGAUAAUGACGGUACCUGCAGAAGCAGCUGCGGCUAACUACGUGCCAGCAGCCGCGGUAAUACGUAGGCAGCGAGCGUUGUUCGGAAUUACUGGGCGUAAAGGGUGUGUAGGCGGUUUUCUAAGUUCGGUGUGAAAUCUCCCGGCUCAACUGGGAGGGUGCGCCGAAAACUGGAAGGCUAGAGUGCGGGAUGGGAAAGUGGAAUUCCUGGUGUAGCGGUGAAAUGCGUAGAUAUCAGGAGGAACACCGGUGGUGUAAACGGCUUUCUGGACCGUAACUGACGCUGAGACACGAAAGCGUGGGGAGCAAACAGGAUUAGAUACCCUGGUAGUCCACGCCCUAAACGAUGCAUAUUUGGUGUGGGUCAUUCAGUUGAUCCGUGCCGGAGCUAACGCGUUAAAUAUGCCGCCUGGGGAGUACAGUCGCAAGGCUGAAACUCAAAGGAAUUGACGG